CAAAAAUCAGCACCCCUGAAAAAUCUGCAUGCAGAAAUUUUCAGCAUGCAUGAUCAUUCAAUUUUCAGAUCUAAUAAGCCUUUAGAUAAUUAAUUCUUACCUUAAUCUAUGAAGCCUAGGCUCUGAUACCACUGUCGAGAACCCGCUGAUCAUGCCGCUGAAAAUUCAAAAAAUUCAGAUGCAGCGGAAGAGGCAUGUGCGGGAUCAACCGUUCAUCGCAUGAACGUUGUUUAAAAACCGUUCGUAGAUAGAUAAGGAUUAAAAACUUUUAAAUAACAUUAGAAGAUCAGAUCUUCACCUUUGUGCGGGUAGAUGAUCACCGCAAACUGAUGAUCGUGGUUUAGGAUGAAGGUUCGCUUGAAGCCGUUCAAGUGCCCGGCCUCUACGGGUAUCCACACGAAGCAGAAAACCGAUCCAAGCUUUCUAUCUCCCCGGGGUAAUAGCUCCCUUGCAGAGAUAACUUUGAUGGCUGAUAUCCUUCCUUUCAAUCAAUCCUUGAUUGUGCUUGGGAGGAGGAAGAAGAAGGAUGAAGAGAAGAAGAGGAACGAAGCCCUGCAGCCUUCUUUUUCUUCCUUGCAUUGGAACCAAACGGUGGAGGAAGAAGGAGGCCACCAAGAUCCUUUUCUUCCCUUUGUUGUUGGUGGCUGAAAAGAGAGGAGAGGAGGGUGGCCACGUGAUGGAGAGGAGGAGGGCUUCUCAUAUCAUUAGGGCACCUCCUUUCAAAGCCUUAUAAAGGCAUCUAGGGCUCCUAUUUG
RNAcentral lists this long non-coding RNA (755 nucleotides) under Phoenix dactylifera (date palm). RNAcentral's name for it is "long non-coding RNA (PDAC_LNC012682)". Lineage: Eukaryota; Viridiplantae; Streptophyta; Magnoliopsida; Arecales; Arecaceae. The record is from RNAcentral.